CCUGUUUCCCCAGAGGCACCAAGGAUGAAACAGCUUUUAUUUUGCUGCCUGAAGUUGUCCUCCAGGGUCUUCAUGUCCUCAGCCAUGCUGUGUGCCAAAACAAAGCGACUGCUCUCUUAGCACCGUGUAUGAGUGCAGGAAGAAUCCAAGCCUUCAUACAUUAUGCUGACUGUGCAGAAUAUGUCAAGAGUGGAAAGGACAGAGCAACGUGUGCUUCAUCAAAGUAGUCUUGCAUUGCCUGUGUCACGACAUGUUUGCACUGUGGCAGCGCUGGAAAAAAGUCUGAUGGAAGUCGUCAUUCUGAGAGCAAAGACUGUAAAGAUCCAUCAAACCCUAGACGCAAAGGCAAGACGAUGGGAAAACAUUCAAGGAGAACCAUUGCCAUGGAUAAUAGCUGGAAUUACACUGUCCUGUGAAAACUAGAAAGUAAAACAACUGGAACCAAAAACUCUGUCUACGUGUGUGGCAGGGCAAACAAUAGGUCACUCUCUAAGUUUUUACAUCUUCCCUAAACAGAAGGCAAGUUGUAAGAGCAGGUUGAGCUCCUUCCAUCCUUAACCCAGCUCAUAUUUUACCAAAUGAAAGGAUGACGUCCCUUCUCGAAGCUUUACCUCAUGUGAUUAUCUGAAGGCAAGUGAAAGUUUCAAAUUCCUGCUCUGCGGCUCGUUGUCUUUGGAGUGGACUCUCUCUCAGGCCAUUGUGCUCUCCUUGACCUUAAGUGUCUUAUCAUUUGGCCCUGCAGGGCAGAGGUCACUCUGCAAUAGUUGACCCUUCCCCCCUGCCCGCUCCAUUCGGCUUUUGCACAAGUACAAGAGGUCUCUAGGAAGACUCUCCAGCUAAAGAUAAUAUACAAAGUACUCUGAGAUAUACCCCAAUGCACCUUUGAGUGACCGGGAAUGGAAGACGGAAAAGUUGACGAAGAUUCAGAGGAUUCAGACCAAGAUUUACAGACAUCAGCAGUCUUCUACAAAGUUUCUGAAUGCUUUGCUCUUCCAUGUUAUUUCUGGUGAACUGGCUUAACCCCACAUCCUGGUCAUGAGUUCAUCAUGAAAGGCCACUUGCAAUCCUGGUGUCUCUUUGUUUAGUCAGCUGAUAGCUGGGGGAAAUAAACGUGAAAGUACUCCUGCGUCUCACUGUCUCUGAUCUGGAUAAACUGUGUCAUUUCUCGCUUAUUAAGCUGAAACGGCUCUGAGCUCAACAUGGCUGCUAAACCUGAGGAGAGAGGAGGCGUGAAGAAGAAGAAUGGGGGAAAUGGACUGCAGGAGAUGGUGAAAGGGAUAGACGAGUGAUGGUUUGGGGAACUGACAAGCCUGAAGGGGGGAGUUAAAGACCUAGUGGAAGAGAGGUCAACUCACCUAGGGCCUAUUAGAUCCCCCAUAAUGCAAUGAUGGGAUCAAUUACAGGCCACACUGGGACUAAAAACCAGCACAGGCCAGUGGCUCCAAAUGGCUGUAUGUGACUUUGUGGCUGUUUGUGCUGUGGGGAAAGUCGGUCAGGCCACAUUACUGCUGUCUGUAUGACCAAAGACCCUGACCAUCCUGAUGGUCAUCAUGCCUCACAGAGUUUCAACAGGGUAAAUGGACCGGCUGAUGGUCCACAUCCGGGUUGAAGAAAACUGCCGUGGCCCCGUCAGCUUCUGCUGCGGCAGCCAGCAAACUGCCACCUCACACUGAGGCCCACAGAUGUUUCAAACCAUGUGGCUGCUGUCACGGCUUUCUCAACGGAUGUUUGAUUUACCAUCUCCCAAUGUUUAACAAACGUUGUAUGACUGCAUUAUUGCACAACCUAUGUUGACUAGACACUAGAUAAGGAUAUGCAGUGCAUUUCCUUAUUAUUAUUUUAAGUAUUAUGACAGACAUUUUCUUUAUGUUUUGGCGCUGUACUGCAGUACAUUGGGUGUGAAAUGAAACAACAAUUACAAUGUUAACAUGCUGGUUCUCAGGGCUGCAACUAAUUGCUAUUUAAUUCUCAAUUAAUCUACUGAUUUUUUUUAUUUUUAUUUAAUCGGUUCUGGCCAUCACAAGCUCUCAGAGCCUAAUGUAACAUUUUCAUAUUGCUUGUUUUGUCCAACCAAUAACCUAAAACCCAAAGAUUUUCACUGAAAUAACAGAGAGGAGCAACAAAUCCUUUGAGAGGCUGGAACCAGAUAAUUUUAUUGCAUUUUUGCUUGAUAAAUUUUUCACACAAUUCAUGAAAAGUGGUGUUGAUUAAUUUUCUGUCGAUCAUUAUUGGUAACAAUGGUACUGAUUAUUUCGGCACUGCUUUCAGUUUACAUCCACAUUAGAUGAACAGUGUAGCAACUGUGUCCAUUUAAUACACAAUUCCCCAAUUUUAGACAAAAAGUAAUUAAACAAGUUAACAUAAUCUUAAAUAAAGCCAUUUAAUAUUUGGUGUCAUAUCAUUUGUAGUCAGUGACGCAUACAACAACAGACACUAGGUACUAUGUCUUCCCUGAUGACAUAGUGCCUAGGCUUGUACUGCAGCCAUCUUCACUUCCUUGUUGUUUUUCAAACUGGUCCUUAGUGAAAUAGUUGGAUUAGUUGGACUGAGGUCAUGCAAUGGUUAUCUGGACAGUCCAGAACAUUCCACUGUUGACCACAUGUUGCGAUCAUUGUCCUCCCGCAUUGUUCUAAAAUUGUGCACUGUGUAUAAAGGGUGUUAAUAGUCCUGCACUGAUAAUUUAAUGUUAACACCUCCAAAUUAACGCUGAAAGUUAGCACUUUAACAUCAUUGUCACUGUUUCAUUUCAAAUGAAAUGGGCUAGAGAACAGAGACAAAACGAUACAAAAUGUGUUGUUGUCUUAAUAGUUUGACUGCACUGUAGCUUCAACAUGAUAGUGGGCUAAAACAACACACUACAAUAAUGCUUAAGAAAGAAAUUCAGCUUGUGAAUUCAUCCAAAUAUUUAAAGUCAGUUUUGGAGUAUGUGAAACUUCAAAUGAAAUCCACAGAAUCUGAAGGUCAGCAGUGUUUUCUUUGGUCAUGUUCAUUCAU
Long non-coding RNA from Siniperca chuatsi (mandarin fish), 2994 nucleotides. RefSeq lists it as uncharacterized. The transcript is spliced from 3 exons. The record is from RefSeq and is a predicted model, not a curated record. Lineage: Eukaryota; Metazoa; Chordata; Actinopteri; Centrarchiformes; Sinipercidae.